UACAACAUCUCAAAUGAGGCACCAGG
This 26-nucleotide non-coding RNA is filed under the name Homo sapiens (human). Lineage: Eukaryota; Metazoa; Chordata; Mammalia; Primates; Hominidae. The record is from RNAcentral.